This 754-nucleotide ribosomal RNA is filed under the name Ambispora leptoticha. Its description in RNAcentral is "SSU rRNA". It matches the Rfam family "Eukaryotic small subunit ribosomal RNA", at positions 355 to 1122 of the family's 1831-position model. Lineage: Eukaryota; Fungi; Glomeromycota; Glomeromycetes; Archaeosporales; Ambisporaceae. The record is from RNAcentral.
AUACGGGUACGGGGAUUAGGGUUCGAUUCCGGAGAGGGAGCCUGAGAAACGGCUACCACAUCCAAGGAAGGCAGCAGGCGCGCAAAUUACCCAAUCCCGACACGGGGAGGUAGUGACAAUAAAUAACAAUACAGGGCCCUCACGGGUCUUGUAAUUGGAAUGAGUACAAUUUAAAUCUCUUAACGAGGAACAAUUGGAGGGCAAGUCUGGUGCCAGCAGCCGCGGUAAUUCCAGCUCCAAUAGCGUAUAUUAAAGUUGUUGCAGUUAAAAAGCUCGUAGUUGAAUUUUGGGUCUGGCCGGGCGGUCCACCUUCCGGUGAGYACUGUUCCGACGCCGGACCUAUCCUUCUGGUGAGACGGCAUGCCCUUCGCUGGGUGWGUCGGGGAACCAGGACCAUUACCUUGAAAAAAUUAGAGUGUUCAAAGCAGGCAUUUGCUCGAAUACAUUAGCAUGGAAUAAUGAAAUAGGACGCGUGGUACUAUUUUGUUGGUUUCUAGGACCGCCGUAAUGAUUAAUAGGGAUAGUUGGGGGCAUUAGUAUUCAAUUGUCAGAGGUGAAAUUCUUGGAUUUAUUGAAGACUAACUUCUGCGAAAGCAUUUGCCAAGGAUGUUUUCAUUAAUCAAGAACGAAAGUUAGGGGAUCGAAGACGAUCAGAUACCGUCGUAGUCUUAACCAUAAACUAUGCCGACUAGGAAUCGGGCGAUGUUAUUUUAACGACUCGCCCGGCGCCUUAUGGGAAACAAANNNNUUUGGA